GCGGGUAUGGUGAAAUGGUAUCACACGAGCUUCCCAAGCUCUUGGCGCGGGUUCGAUUCCCGCUACCCGCUCCA
This 74-nucleotide transfer RNA is filed under the name Cereibacter sphaeroides. RNAcentral describes it as "tRNA-Gly". It matches the Rfam family "tRNA". From Rfam's summary of the family: Transfer RNA (tRNA) molecules are approximately 80 nucleotides in length. Their secondary structure includes four short double-helical elements and three loops (D, anti-codon, and T loops). The record is from RNAcentral. RNAcentral also lists the same sequence under 44 other names. Lineage: Bacteria; Pseudomonadati; Pseudomonadota; Alphaproteobacteria; Rhodobacterales; Paracoccaceae.